GAAAACGUUUCUAUGGAUGCUGUGAGAGUGGUGCUAACUACACACCGAAUGGAUAACGAGGUACGUUGGAGUCAUUAGGAGCAAAAGAAGGAGAAAUCGUCCAUUUGGAGCGAAAAUGGUAAAAAGGUCAAUGCACAUGCGAGUCAUGUUGGAGCUAGCUAAGGUUGCGCAUCAAGGGAGCGGAAGAAUAAAUUGUCAGUUUCCUGAAACUGACCAGCCAAAUGAUCUGAACAACCCUUAUCUAUUUCACCUGGGUGGAUGUAUCAAUUAUAUUUCCUACAGAAGACAUAAAUUUCAGAGAAAAAUCAUUUGUCUCAUCAUUAGCCUCUAUUUCGUUUUCUAUGCCUGUAAAGUGCAGCGGCACCUGACAGAGAAAUAAAGAGAUUCAGUAGAUGAAAUUGGUGGUAGUGAAAAGUUGCUGCUUCCAUGGUUGAACUGGGGUUGAUUAGACACAAAAAGUGAUUGAAGAGGAGGCUGAAAUCGAUUUACAGAUGGAGAAGAAGAUUAAACAGAUUGGAUCCGAGACUGAGAAGGAGAUUGAAUUCAAGAGUCUCUGUGUGAUGGGUUUGUUGAGUCGUGUGUUUGAUUGAUACUAUUGGUGCUGCUAUUGGGAAAUUGAUGGAAUUAAAUUAGGGAUUCUGAUGAUUUAAAGCAUAUGGGUUUAUUGAUUUGAGUCAAGAAAUAGAAGAAGAGGAUUUUUUGAUGUUCAAAAUGAGUUUGAAUUUGAGUUCCAGAGAAGCUAAGGUUUGAGAUGGGGAUCUGAAGUUGAUGUAGGGUUUCUGCUCAAAUCUGGUGAUGGGCUUUGCAGCUGUUAGUGAUGAAUUAGAAGAUGGGUCGAUUUGAUUAAUGUUUCUGCAGAUGGGUUUGAGGUGGAAUUUGAUUCUGAAGCAGCUAGGAGGUACAGUUAUUGAAGGAUUACAGAGUUUUGAGUUGAAACAAGAAAUCAAGCCAUGAAUUGGUUGAAUGCAAAUGAAGAUUUCAGAGUUGGUGGUAUUGGUGCUAUGAGACUGGAAGUUGGUUGUGCAGCUGCGAUGAAAGGGUUACUGGUGUUGGAGGCCUGUACACAGUGAGAUGGUGGUGACAGUGAAGAACUGAUUGGAGUUGCAAGUGCAGUUAGAGAAUUGAAGAUUGAGAAGUUGUUGUAGCUGCAGUUACAGAAAAUAGAGGAAUCACUUGUUUUUGUGGUUGUGGAAUGAGCUGCAGCUGCAAUUGCGAGCCAUGAGGUUGAGCUGCAGGUUGCAAGAAGAGGAAACUGUGACUGAGAUGGAGUGGCAGGUGAUGAUAUAAUGGCCAGAAGUGGUGGUUGAACUGAGAGGAAGCAAGAAGGGAAACUGGAGGAGUUAUGGUGUUACUAUUGCCGUGAUGGGAGUGUGCCAUUAAGCUGAAAUGGGUUGGACUUGGUAGAGUAUAUGGAGCUGCUGCUAAUGAUGUUAAUGUUGCUUCUCAAAGCUGAAUUGCAAGAAGGAGUUGUGCUUUGAAAUGGCCUGAACCUAGAUGUAUGUUAGGACAGGUACAAAUUACAGGAGCUAAUGGGAAGCUAUUGAUGUUUAUACAAUGCGGAGAAGAAGUUGCAGGCUUGAAGUUCAGUUGCAGUUUCUGGUGGUAUGAGUUAUGGACUGUGGUGCAGGUUAAAUUUAGAAGAUGUUUUUGCUUGUAAAGAUGGAACUGAGCUUGGAAAUAUGUUGCUGAGAAUGAAUGAACCUGUGACAGAAUGAGGAGAUGCAGGUUGCAGUUGGAGAUGUGUUGCGACAGUCAAGGAGCUUGAACGAGGAAGAAGUCAAAAUGUUGCAGGAAUUGCAGGAUGCACAUCCAUCAUGGCUGGAUAUGAGUUGGUGAUGUACAAUGAUUGUGCUGCAUAAGUUCAGGCCUUGGAAAAGCAUUCAGUUCUGACUCAGGUCUGACUAGACCACCUGACUCACUUCAACUCGGUCUGACUUCUAAGUUGACCCGAGUUGACCCACUUGAACAGUUUUUACCGGUGAUUUUUACAGUCACCUGUGAAUUUUACUGGGCUAUUUUCUACAUGGGUAUUUUUUACAUACGGGCUUGGUGGACUUCUUUGUGAUGGACUUUGGAUUGGAGGAUUGACCUAGUUUUGAAAAGAUGAAAAGAUA
This is a long non-coding RNA of Papaver somniferum (opium poppy), 2114 nucleotides long. RefSeq lists it as uncharacterized. Lineage: Eukaryota; Viridiplantae; Streptophyta; Magnoliopsida; Ranunculales; Papaveraceae. The transcript is spliced from 2 exons. The record is from RefSeq and is a predicted model, not a curated record.